GAUUAUUUUUACUAUAAAUCAAGUUGAGAUUUCAUAAAUAUUAUGAAAAAUUUUAAUUACUUAUCUAUUCUUCCCUCAUGGCAUCUAAUGAGAUCGAACAAUUUUUCUUUCAAUUGAUAUCAGAGCCAGCCUUGUAUAUCAUGAUCGCAUAGUCAAAAUUUGAGAUUUUUUUGAUUUUUUUAUCUUAGUUUUGAACCAUA
Molecule: long non-coding RNA, 200 nt
Filed under: Elaeis guineensis (African oil palm)
Lineage: Eukaryota; Viridiplantae; Streptophyta; Magnoliopsida; Arecales; Arecaceae
Description: long non-coding RNA (EGUI_LNC031149)
Source: RNAcentral